AGAAGAUGUGAUUAGUAGGAGAAAAAAAAGCAGCGUCUAGAAACAGAGCAAACAGGUAGCAUGAAGGGACUCAGACCACUGGGGCUUCUGGAUUUCCAGACAAAAACCUUGCAUGACCAUAGAAGCAGUGAAAGCAGAGAUGACCGGGGGGAUAAAGAUGAAAAAAUGAAGGAGGACAAAGGGGUUUCCACCCACAAGAGAAAGAAUAUGAAAAGCCCUGGAAACCCCUCCAUUUUGUCUUCAUCUGGCGCAGAAGAUAGCCUCUCCACCCCAAAGAGAUGCCUGAAAGAAACUGAAACAAAGGACAGUAACUACGGGGGUGUAAGUGAUUGCUGGACCCAGACUAGGAAGGAGUCUAGUCUGUGAAAGAAGCUUAUUGGAACAUCUCUGAGGAUCCAAGGGGGUUGGAUCUGUAUUCACCAGGACUUUGUAGCAGUCAGGGUAUACAAAUCCCUGUGCCGUCUUCCUGCCCUUUGCCUCCACGAUACUGUAGACUGCAACAAACAGUACCAUCUCACUGAAGGCUUUCUGUGUCCCUCAUAAGAGCCAUAUACUUUGAUCCUGAAUGUGGAAAAAAAGUAUUAUGUUAUUAUUGUAUCAUUCUAGAUAAAUUUUUUUGGAAA
Long non-coding RNA from Malaclemys terrapin pileata, 623 nucleotides. RefSeq lists it as uncharacterized. The record is from RefSeq and is a predicted model, not a curated record. NCBI's taxonomy places the organism in Eukaryota, Metazoa, Chordata, Testudines, Emydidae. The transcript is spliced from 3 exons.